Molecule: long non-coding RNA, 3740 nt
Organism: Equus caballus (horse)
Lineage: Eukaryota; Metazoa; Chordata; Mammalia; Perissodactyla; Equidae
Source: Ensembl
CUACGUGUGGCCGCUGCCCUGGCCUGGCGGGCUCUUGAGUAACGGUAGUUAUAAACAUUCCAAAGUAGACAUGUCAGUUAAAUGAUACCAUAACACCAUAUAGUUACAAUUCUGUUAUAAAUGUGCCGACAGUUCCCAAAAAAAUCCAUUUUCGGUGCUCCCUCCCCCACCCCAUUCCUUCCUGUGACCUACGCAGUGAUGACUGUGGAAGCUACUGGCUCAAUGGAAAGCGGGGAGAAGAUCGAAGGUUUAGUCAUAGUGUGGCCCCACCACCGCCAGCCCUGCCCUCUGGAAAAUAUUUCUGAGAAGCCUCAGUAUUGGUGUCCAGAGCAACAUGCUCAUCUGAAGAACACAUCUGAACUUUCUUUCUGCUGAAAAUCACAUUUAUUCAUACAAGCAAUGGAUUCCCUGGAGAAAUGCAAUUCAAAGAUGGCGGCCAGUGGAGUAAUUGAGGAAUGACUGGCCUCUCUUGGUCCCCUCCUGCCUUUCCUCCUCGCCCCUGCAGUAACGUGGUUUGCUUUUCCUAAGAGAUGCUGAAAGAGAGAAGCCAGCAAACCUCUCCAUCGAUGCAGCAAUGUGGAGGCUUAACAUUCAAUUAGAAAACCCACUUCAGCAUCUCCCACAGAGAAACAUCAGGAAGAGAUUCCUCAUAUAUAUUUUCACAGAAAACACUGGAAUCACCACACAGACUGCUAUAACUGCCCAUUUUCUAACUCUUUGAUGUGUACAAAUCUGACAGCUGAUAUUUGAGGUAAAAUGUGCACCUGAAGAAUUUCCAUUCUCUAUCCUAGAGCAGGAGUCAGCAAACUGCUGCCCAAAAUAACUCUCCAAAUCAUCGACUUCUCUCUAUCAUCGUCCCUUCCCAGGUCACCACCCUGUCUCACUUGGAUGAUUGCAAUAGCUUCCUAACUGGUUUCCCUGAGACCCAUCCAUUCGUCUAUUCCUCCCACCGUUCCUUCCACCAUCCCACUCUCCAUCCAUCCAUCCCAACAUCCAUCCCACUAUCCCACAAUGCAUCCGUCCAUCCAUUCAUCCAUCUCUCCAUCCAUCCAUCAAUCCCACCAUCCAUCCAUUGGUCCAUAUGUCUGUCCAUCCAUCCAUCCAUCCAUCCAUCCAUCCCAUAUGCACUUGAUAAUUACUAUGUCCCAAACACUGUGUAUGUCCUAGUGUAAGUGGGAAACAAAACAAAUUCCCUGCUCCAAAACAAAAUAGCAAAUUUCAAAGUAAGACACCCCAUGAGGGAAAAGAGCAGGCUGUCUUGAAAGAGAAGGAUGUCAGGGGGCCUACUUAGAGUUUUUUUGAAGGUGGGCCUCACCAAGGAGGUGAGACAUUGGCAGAAAGACCGUAUAACUUGUUGUUCGAACUAGCAUACUUUUGAGGGUGAGGAGGAGCCAUCAAAAACUAUUCUAGGGCCGGCCCUGGUGACCUAGUGGUUAAAUUCAGUGCAUUCUGCUUCAGCGGCCUGGGUUCGGUGUCAAGCAUGGACCUACACCACUCGUCAGUGGCCAUGCUGUGGUGGUGCCUCACAUACAAAAAAGAGGAAGAAUGGCAAAAGAUGUUAGCUCAGGGUGAAUCUUCCUCAGGGGAAAAAAAAAAUUCUAGGGCAACAGGUGCAAACCAGGACUGGCUCUGGUAAACUGAGAGGUGUGGUCUCCCUCCUACAUGGCAAGAUGUGGAGGAGGAGCUGAGAAAGUUAGGGGCGAGGAGAGAAAGGACUGCUUUUCUUUGGUGAGAGAGGCUGCAAACCUACAUAAUAGAGAACUAGGAGAGAAAGGAAAGAGGAAAGAGAACAGCCUGCGUGGUGUGGGGCCAGAGAGAGCUUUGCGGAUGGAGGUUAAGUGAAUAGAGUCUCUGAGGGAAAUGAGGGAUGGAAGAGGAAAUAGGAUAUAAGAAGCAUUUCUUAGAUUUUCAAGGGCCAGCAAGAGUUCACUGGAUGCUGCGGUUUUUAUCCUAGGGUGAGACGCUUAGAUCCUUUAAACACGAGUCGGACAGAACCGCUCUGAGAGAGUCAGUGAUGACGCCAGGGCAUUCCCCUCCCAGCCGCCCACCGGUGUCCUCCGAGCCUGCGCCCCACCGGGAGAAGGGGUCUGAUGUUUUAUUCUUCUACCUCCUUCUCAUGUGCAAGGCAACCUACAAUUUCUUGUGGACACAUCAACUUCUCAGUGUCUGUAUCAGGAAUUUCAAACUCUCAUUCAUCCUCCAUCACCUUGAUAAUCUCUACUUGGUUUGAACUGUCUAAAGAAAAAGAAAAAAUGUUUCUCUGUGCUGCGAAUCAAGUCUUUCUUUAGUCCUGUUUUUAUUAUUCUUCUAUCAAAAGAUUCAAGUUAAAGAGCGGGAUUCCUUGUUAAUCUCUUUAAUAAGCUUUGGCUGUUUGGAAUGCACAUAGUUGAGUUGGUCUCCCCAUGGGACCCUGGACCCUGGACCCUGAGGAUGGCCCUGCACGGGGGGUGCCUUAGCUUGUGUCUCUGCUCCGUCACUUGUCUGCAAGCUUGCUGAGGGCAGGGACUGUCUGCUUACCUCUGGUCCCAGCACCUGGCUUGGGGCCGGCACGGAGUAUGUGCUCAGUAAGUGCUGCGUUUGGGAACAGCACUUGGAUCCCAGAACAGUUAACACCCUCCCGCGAGGCCUCGGAGGGCGCAAGCGCCAAGCCCAAGCUUCCUUUCACAUCCUGCUCCUGCAGAAAUGGAGCAGCUGCUCCACUCGGGCUAUUUAAUGUCGAAAUCCCAUCUUCCCCCACGUGAGGCUGGCCUCUUCUCUACCGCCAUCAAUUCUCCAAGGCCGUCCAAGGUGCCUCGUGGAAGCAGACAUCUGCAGAUGGCUCGCGUGACCCGCGGAUGGGGGUUGAGCUUCACGCCUCACUGCCAUGCAGGCUGGUGUCUCCCGUCAGCAUCGGCGGGCCAGGCGGGGUGUCCAGGCAGACCCGUGACCGCCCGGAGGUCCUGCCUGGCAGUCCCUGGGCUGGCAACCUCCGAUGUCAGGGGUGUCACGGUGAACAGUGAUUGUUGAUGACGGGCUGGGGCACCCCACCCUUUAUUCUUGCCCCAGCCGGCUCUGAAAUUCCUGGAGACAGCACUGUCACCCCCUGUCAUCUCUGAGCCUCAGUUAACUCUUCUAGAAACUGGCGAUAACACAGUGCCCCAUGUAGUAGGCACUCGACCACCACAGCAGGAUUGACCCCACCAUGCACGGACUGAAGGCAAAGUGUGGGCUCCCGGAGGACCCACCGCGCUUUGGAGCAAAGCCCUCUCUGGUUGCUCAAGGCGGAUGCAGCCCAGGAGACUUGCAUCUGAAGCUGCCCAGCGAAUUCUGGGAGAAGAUGGUGGUGCAGUUUCCGGGAUGGAGACGUCCCAGGGCCCCGCCCUGAGUCUGAUAAGAUCAGGACCCUGAGACUCAGCGAGCAGCCUGUGAGAGGUGGGAGUAGGAUUCAGAUCCAGUCCUGCCUGUCCCUGAAGCUCCUGUGUUGGCCUCUAACCACUGUGCUGACAGAUCCCGCUGCCGGGCCUUCAGAAACAGCAGAGGAAAGGGGUCGGCAACCUUGUUCCAUGAAGUCCCGGACAGCGAUCCCCUUGGCUCUGCAGGCCGUGAGGUCUCUGUCACGACUGCUCAGCUCUGCCGUCACGGUGCAAAUGCGGCCCCAGACAACGUAGACACAAACGGGCGUGGCUGUGUUCCAAUAAAACUUUACUCACAAACACCGGUGGUGGGCCAGGUUUGGGCUGUGGGCCUUAGGUUUUGGACUC